This is a microRNA precursor of Oryza sativa Indica Group (long-grained rice), 205 nucleotides long. It matches the Rfam family "MIR812 microRNA precursor family". NCBI's taxonomy places the organism in Eukaryota, Viridiplantae, Streptophyta, Magnoliopsida, Poales, Poaceae. The record is from Rfam.
GAAGAUCGCAGUUUUGUUUAUAUAUAUAUAACGUUUGACUGUCCGUUUUAUUUGAAAAUUUUUUAUGAUUAGUAUUUUUAUUGUUAUUAGCUAAUAAAACAUGAACAAUACUUUAUGUGUACUAUUUUUCUUUAUUUUUUUAUAAAUUUUUUAGAUAAGAUGAAUAGUCAAAUGCUAAACACGAAAACCCACAGCUGUAUUUUAA